This 634-nucleotide ribosomal RNA is filed under the name Microbotryum superbum. RNAcentral's name for it is "LSU rRNA". It matches the Rfam family "Eukaryotic large subunit ribosomal RNA", at positions 37 to 668 of the family's 3401-position model. The record is from RNAcentral. Lineage: Eukaryota; Fungi; Basidiomycota; Microbotryomycetes; Microbotryales; Microbotryaceae.
UGCAUAUCAAUAAGCGGAGGAAAAGAAACUAACAAGGAUUCCCCUAGUAACGGCGAGUGAAGCGGGAAAAGCUCAAAUUUGUAAUCUGGCGCCUUCGGCGUCCGAGUUGUAAUCUCGAGAAGUAUUUUCCGCGCUGGACCGCACAUAAGUCUGUUGGAAUACAGCGUCAUAGUGGUGAGAACCCCGUAUAGGGUGCGGAUGCCCAGUGCUUUGUGAUAUACUUUCGAAGAGUCGAGUUGUUUGGGAAUGCAGCUCAAAUGGGGUGGUAAAUUCCAUCUAAAGCUAAAUAUUGGCGAGAGACCGAUAGCGAACAAGUACCGUGAGGGAAAGAUGAAAAGCACUUUGGAAAGAGAGUUAACAGUACGUGAAAUUGUUGGAAGGGAAACGCUUGAAGUCAGACUUGCAUUUUGGAGUUCAGCCGCAAGGUGUACUCUUCAAUUCGCAGGCCAGCAUCAGUUUUUGGGGGUGGAAAAGCGCGGUUGGAAGGUGGCAGUCUCGGCUGUGUUAUAGCUGGCCGCUGGAUUCACUUUUGGGGACUGAGGAACGCAGUACGCUUUUUGCAAGACCCUCGGGUCUUUCGUACUUAGGAUGCUGGUGGAAUGGCUUUAAACGACCCGUCUUGAAACACGGACCA